CCUACGGGUGGCUGCAGUGGGGAAUAUUGGACAAUGGGGGGAACCCUGAUCCAGCCAUGCCGCGUGUGUGAAGAAGGCCCUCGGGUUGUAAAGCACUUUCAGUGAGGAAGAACGCCUGGUGGUUAAUACCCAUCAGGAAAGACAUCACUCACAGAAGAAGCACCGGCUAACUCCGUGCCAGCAGCCGCGGUAAUACGGAGGGUGCGAGCGUUAAUCGGAAUUACUGGGCGUAAAGCGCGCGUAGGUGGCUUGAUAAGCCGGUUGUGAAAGCCCCGGGCUCAACCUGGGAACGGCAUCCGGAACUGUCAAGCUAGAGUGCAGGAGAGGAAGGUAGAAUUCCCGGUGUAGCGGUGAAAUGCGUAGAGAUCGGGAGGAACACCAGUGGCGAAGGCGGCCUUCUGGACUGACACUGACACUGAGGUGCGAAAGCGUGGGUAGCAAACAGGAUUAGAUACCCUAGUAGUC
This 465-nucleotide ribosomal RNA is filed under the name Vreelandella stevensii. RNAcentral describes it as "partial 16S ribosomal RNA". It matches the Rfam family "Bacterial small subunit ribosomal RNA", at positions 338 to 795 of the family's 1533-position model. Lineage: Bacteria; Pseudomonadati; Pseudomonadota; Gammaproteobacteria; Oceanospirillales; Halomonadaceae. The record is from RNAcentral.